This 305-nucleotide ribosomal RNA is filed under the name uncultured bacterium. RNAcentral describes it as "partial 16S ribosomal RNA". It matches the Rfam family "Bacterial small subunit ribosomal RNA", at positions 508 to 807 of the family's 1533-position model. The record is from RNAcentral.
ACAGCAGUCGCCGCGGUAAUACAGAGGGUGCGAGCGUUAAUCGGAUUUACUGGGCGUAAAGCGUGCGUAGGCGGCUAAUUGAGUCGGAUGUGAAAUCCCCGAGCUUAACUUGGGAAUUGCAUUCGAUACUGGUUAGCUAGAGUGUGGGAGAGGAUGGUAGAAUUCCAGGUGUAGCUGUGAAAUGCGUAGAGAUCUGGAGGAAUACCGAUGGCGAAGGCAGCCAUCUGGCCUAACACUGACGCUGAGGUACGAAAGCAUGGGGAGCAAACAGGAUUAGAUACCCCCGUAGUCCCUGUCUCUUAUAC